GACGAACGCUGGCGGCGUGCUUAACACAUGCAAGUCGAACGGAAAGGCCCGGCUUUUGUGGGUUGCUGGGGGGGCGAACGGGGGAGAAACAGGUGGGUAACCUGCCCUUGCCUUUGGGUUAACUUAAGGAAACUGGGGUUAAUACCGGAAGGGAGCUCCUGCUGCAUGGGGGGGGUUGGAAGGUUUCGGCGGUUGGGGAUGGACUCGCGGCUUAUCAGCUUGUUGGUGGGGUAGUGGCUUACCAAGGCUUUGACGGGUAGCCGGCCUGAGAGGGUGACCGGCCACAUUGGGACUGAGAUACGGCCCAGACUCCUACGGGAGGCAGCAGUGGGGAAUAUUGCACAAUGGGCGGAAGCCUGAUGCAGCAACGCCGCGUGCGGGAUGACGGCCUUCGGGUUGUAAACCGCUUUCGCCUGUGACGAAGCGUGAGUGACGGUAAUGGGUAAAGAAGCACCGGCUAACUACGUG
This 468-nucleotide ribosomal RNA is filed under the name uncultured bacterium. RNAcentral's name for it is "partial 16S ribosomal RNA". It matches the Rfam family "Bacterial small subunit ribosomal RNA", at positions 28 to 507 of the family's 1533-position model. The record is from RNAcentral.